CUAGACGAAGCAGUUGAGAGCUGCACCAGAGGGGGUGAGAGUCCCGUAGUCGAAAGUGGAAGGAUACUAGCUGGAUCCCGAGUAGCGUGGGGCACGUGAAAUCCCGCGUGAAUCAGCGAGGACCAUCUCGUAAGGCUAAAUACUCCUGUGUGACCGAUAGUGAAGAGUACCGCGAGGGAAAGGUG
This 185-nucleotide ribosomal RNA is filed under the name uncultured organism. Its description in RNAcentral is "23S ribosomal RNA". It matches the Rfam family "Bacterial large subunit ribosomal RNA", at positions 329 to 516 of the family's 2925-position model. The record is from RNAcentral.